CUGGCUCCUGCAUAGUAUGGGUUCUCUCAACCUUCUUCUACAAAAGGUCUCAAUUCUGCCAAACACUAGCUCAGUCAGUUAGUGUGAGAGGAAAAUGGAUAUAUGCCAAUAUACAGGGGCUGAAAUUGAAACACUGACAUCCUCUCAUGCUGAGCCAGGAAAACAAGGUGUGUAAAUGUCUAUGAGUUCCAUGUUAAGUGAACAAGAUAUGAGCAGAGUAUAAGGACAGGUAACAUUCUUUGCAUGGCACUGUAGGCACCUAAACCCACACAAUGAUAGCAUAGAUGUGCCUCCCUUUGGAUAGCCAAACCAAACUAGCCUAGUCUUACGUUAAAUAGCCAAAAUGUUUUAUAUAUUAAUCGGUCUGGUAGUAUUACAAGCAGUGAUAACACCCAAGGCAAGUUUUAUUGUAAAUCCACACUAAACUUGCACUUUAUGCAUGGAAACAGUAUAUUUAGAAGUACAUGUUUAAAAGCAUUUUGAUGGAGAAGAAUCUGGGCUCAGCCCCAAAUGAUAAACAGUCCAGCUAAUGCCCCUGGUGUACUCCCAGGAAGGCAAUCCAAAGAUCACUUUAGGUUAUGUUGGCUCGAAUUUAGCCUAUUACCCAAAAACAUUUAAAACUCAACUUAGAAGCCAAUACUCACAUCUACCUCUGAGCCCAGUUGGAGAUAGAAAAAACACACCAGCCGUGAGUGAGAAGAAGCAAGGGUCCAGCUUUAUUGUUUCAUUCCACCACACGAGAUCCACACCGAUGAGAAUUCUCAAAAGUGAUCCCCCAUACCCUGAGCUUAAGCUCCAGUAUUUAUACUGUAUUUACACACUAGAUAACCCAUAGGUUUCCAGAAAAGGCCUAUUUCACUUACCCAUAGAAUUGAAACCAGGGG
Long non-coding RNA from Ictalurus punctatus (channel catfish), 884 nucleotides. RefSeq lists it as uncharacterized. Lineage: Eukaryota; Metazoa; Chordata; Actinopteri; Siluriformes; Ictaluridae. The transcript is spliced from 2 exons. The record is from RefSeq and is a predicted model, not a curated record.